Long non-coding RNA from Lingula anatina, 267 nucleotides. The record is from RefSeq and is a predicted model, not a curated record. NCBI's taxonomy places the organism in Eukaryota, Metazoa, Brachiopoda, Lingulata, Lingulida, Lingulidae.
AUACCUUGGUGUUUGGCAGCACGUUAACCUACAGCUGUAGUGAUGGAGACUUGGUGCUGGCAGGGAGUUCAACAGCAGUUUGCAUGAAUAACGGAAGUUGGAGUUCCGAACCCCCAUCUUGCACGGGAUUCACGUCUCAAGAAGGUAAAAACAAUCCGACAGAAAUACUGAAUUCACAGGAUAUAUUGUGGAUCAUCAUUGCCGCCGUUGUUGUAUUGGUUCUGGUAGUCGUUGGCUGUAUCAUGUUGGCGAUAGUGUGCAGAGGGA